This is a non-coding RNA of Pelobates cultripes (western spadefoot toad), 331 nucleotides long. The record is from the annotation of a GenBank genome assembly. NCBI's taxonomy places the organism in Eukaryota, Metazoa, Chordata, Amphibia, Anura, Pelobatidae.
UUAGCCUUUUUUUCUACGAGAUAAUCUGUUUUCUUUUAAACUUAUAUUGAAAAAAAAAAAAGUAAAUUACAUAAUAAUCCGUUUCAAACAAGGCAAAGCAAGGGAAACCAUUCAGAAAGAUACAAAACAUGCUUCUAGAUUCUCCUCUUCCCUGCAUGCUUUUUGUAUGCUGACUGCCUGGUGCCGAUAUCAAUGAUUGACAGGGAAGAUGGAGGCUCCCAGUUGCAGGAUAAAGAAAUAAGGAUUUUUACUUUUGAUUUUUCAAACCUCACAAAUACAUAUUUGUUAUGCGUUGUUAAGUAAAAAUCCUAUUAAAAAUCCUGGGAGGUGG